CCCUUAGAUGUUCUGGGCUGCACGCGCGCUACACUGAUGCGUUCAACGAGUUUAUGACCUUGCCCGAUAGGGUUGGGUAAUCUUUUUAAAUCGCAUCGUGAUGGGGAUAGAUUAUUGCAAUUAUUAGUCUUCAACGAGGAAUUCCUAGUAAACGCAAGUCAUCAACUUGCAUUGAUUACGUCCCUGCCCUUUGUACACACCGCCCGUCGCACCUACCGAUUGAAUGGUCCGGUGAAGCCUCCGGAUUGGCGCGCACCUCGGUGCCGCCGAGAAGUUGGCUAAACCUUACCAUUUAGAGGAAGGUGAAGUCGUAACA
This 316-nucleotide ribosomal RNA is filed under the name uncultured eukaryote. RNAcentral describes it as "partial 18S ribosomal RNA". It matches the Rfam family "Eukaryotic small subunit ribosomal RNA", at positions 1470 to 1796 of the family's 1831-position model. The record is from RNAcentral.